RNAcentral lists this long non-coding RNA (1760 nucleotides) under Chrysemys picta bellii (western painted turtle). RNAcentral's name for it is "lncRNA (ENSCPBG00000005447.1)". The record is from RNAcentral. Lineage: Eukaryota; Metazoa; Chordata; Testudines; Emydidae.
AUGAAAUUAUUAAGGAUAAUUGGGACCCUGAGAAAAAUUCCUCAGGAUUUCAGAGAUCCAAUCAUAGUUACACUAUACAAAAACAAAGGCAAUAAACCCGGCUGUGGCAACUUCUGGGGCAUCUCCCUGCUAUUCGUAGAUGGUAAAAUCCUCACUUGUAUUUUGCUCAAUAGUCUUGUAAAAAAGUAUCAGAGAAGCUUCUACCAGAGACCCAAUGUGGAUUUAGAUCAGAUUGGAGCACCACAGGCAUGAUUUUCAUUGUGAGACAGAUUCAGGAAAAACAGAUUGAACAAAACAUGGAACUGUAUCCUGUCUUCAUUGAUCUAAAAAAAGCGUUUGACACUGUGAGCAGAAAUGACCUCUGGAGAAUUUUAGAAAAGUUUGGCUGGCCCACCAAAUUUUUGAACAUCAGACGUCGUUUCCAUGAAGACAUGACUCAUAAAUAGUGGCCUCUCUAACCCAUUCCCUUUAUUUAAUGGAGGGUGAAACAAGGCUGCAUGCAGGCACUGGUCUGUGGUCUCUUCUUCAUAGAUGUUCUGAAUUAUACAACUUACAACCUUCAAAAGAGCAUUUACAUAAGGUACAGAACUGAUUAAAAACUCUUCAAUCGCUAAAGACUUACUGCAAAGACAAAAAUUUAUUGAAGAACUCAUAUGUGAAGACUUUUUAGCAGAUGACUGCGCUUUAUUAUUCAGUCAUAGUGGAAGUGAUCUACAGCUUAUCCUUGUCAGGAUCUCAGAGGUAAUUAAACAGUUUGGAGUCACCAUCAACCUGGAAAAAAACUGAAGUCUUUUUCCAACCAGCCCCAUCAACUACUACCACUUGAGCCAUCGAUAGUACAAAACUAAAGAAUGUCAAUCACUUUACGUACCUUGGUAAUACCAUCUCAAGUGAGGAUUCCCUGGAUCAAGAAAUAUCAAACAGAAUACAAAAGGCAGAGAGGGUUUCAGAAGAUUUAGCCAUAGGAUACUCAACCAGCAUACCAUCAAACUGUCAACAAAACUAAUGAUAUACAAUGCAGCAGUGAUAGCAUCUCUUUUCUAUGGGUAUGAAAAACAAUUACCAUAAACGCAUCAACUUGAAAAAUUUCACAAACACUGACUUCAAUCUAUUCUGAAGAUAUGCCGGAAAGACAAAGUGUCAAAUAUUAACAUCCUUGAAAGGGUAAAAUCAACUAGUAUCCAGGCAAUGAUUAUCAAAGCUCAGCAUAGAUGGGCAGAUCAUGGUAACAGAAUGGGUGGUGACAGACUCCUGAAAAAAGUCCAUCUAUAGUGAGCUGAAAUUUGGAAAGUGCAAGAAGGGUGCUCAAUGUAAAUGCUGCAGAGACACCCUUAAAAGAAUCACACAUCGUGACAUAAAAGUUGGUAACUUCAAAGACACAGCGGAGGACAGACCUGAAUGGAGAGGAACUAUCACUAAAGGUUGUAAACACUUUGACAAAGGCAGAUGCAAAAAACUGAUUAGAAAAGGGCCAAACAUCAUGCCAAGUCUUCAGUGGGAGCCUACAGAUUCCUAGGUAACAUCUGUUCAUGACCCUGCUGCUCAUAGACUGGACUAUACAGCCACAAGAGAACACACGAGAUGCUGUGACAUUGUCAGAUAUGAUAGACAGCCAUACUAGAUAAUCGAAGAUGUGAGUUAUCUGCCAUAACCACCAAAAUACAUUUGUAUAUUAAUCAAAGGUGACAUUCACUCUGUAUAUCAGAAUUGUGUAAAAAGUCGCCACCAUAAAUAAAGCUCACCCGUUUGCAGAGGAUGCA